Molecule: long non-coding RNA, 443 nt
Filed under: Capsicum annuum
Lineage: Eukaryota; Viridiplantae; Streptophyta; Magnoliopsida; Solanales; Solanaceae
Description: long non-coding RNA (CANN_LNC004896)
Source: RNAcentral
ACUCCUCCAUAAUACACCAAAAUUUCUCUUCCACACCAUCACAUACAAAGUAGAUUAAAGACAACACUACACAUGCAUACACAGUGAGACCAAGAACGAGAGAGGGUGAAAGAUAAAGAAAACUGAGUGGAGAGAUCGAGAGGGAAGGGAGAAAACAAAGAAGAGAUUGAGAGUGAUAAAAUCAUGAGAAUAGAGGAAAAAUAAAGAAAAAAAAUGAGAGAGAGAGAGAGAUUGACUGUGAGAUAGGGUAUUUUUAAUAAAUUUUUCAUCGGAAUCACCAUCGAAAAAUACCCUCCAUCGCUGUAUUGUCACGGUUACAGAAAAUUUAUGGUCGGGAAAUACCACUAGCUCCGUUUAUGACCCACGUGCCAUCAAUUUCUAUUUUCGAUCAAAUUGCUCAUCAAAAUCUCACCAGAUCGGAAUUGGUUACCCCCCACUAGAAA